UAAAGCCGGAUGCUUGGUAACUUGCUUGUCCGGUUUGUCGGGGGGAAGGGGGUAGCGAUAUCCCUGACCCACCCAUU
Molecule: non-coding RNA, 77 nt
Organism: Rivularia sp. PCC 7116
Lineage: Bacteria; Bacillati; Cyanobacteriota; Cyanophyceae; Nostocales; Rivulariaceae
Source: Rfam